AAACUACCAAGGAUUCCCCUAGUAACGGCGAGUGAAGCGGGAAGAGCUCAAAUUUGAAAUCUAAUGGCCUCAGGUCAUUCGAGUUGUAAUCUAUAGGAACGUUUUCCGUGCCGGCUCAUGUACAAGUCCCUUGGAACAGGGCGUCAUAGAGGGUGAGAAUCCCGUACUUGACAUGAACUACCGGUGCUCUGUGAUACGUCUCCAACGAGUCGAGUUGUUUGGGAAUGCAGCUCAAAAUGGGUGGUAAAUUCCAUCUAAAGCUAAAUAUUGGUGUGAGACCGAUAGCGAACAAGUACCGUGAGGGAAAGAUGAAAAGCACUUUGGAAAGAGAGUUAAAAAGUAUGUGAAAUUGUUGAAAGGGAAACGAUUGAAGUCAGUCAUGUCCUUCAGAUUCAGCUGGUUCUGCCGGUGUAUUUCUGUUGGAUGGGGUCAACAUCAGUUUUGGAUGCCGGAUAAAGGUGGGAGGAAGGUAGUACCCCCGGGUAAACUUAUAGCCUCUCAUUGCAUACGGUGACUGGGACUGAGGAACGCAGCUUGCCUUUAUGGCCGGGGUUCGCCCACGUACAAGCUUAGGAUGUUGACAUAAUGGCUUUAAACGAC
Molecule: ribosomal RNA, 600 nt
Filed under: Piskurozyma taiwanensis
Lineage: Eukaryota; Fungi; Basidiomycota; Tremellomycetes; Filobasidiales; Piskurozymaceae
Description: eukaryotic LSU rRNA
Rfam family: Eukaryotic large subunit ribosomal RNA
Source: RNAcentral